ACGACCUCACUUGAACAUUAUCUGUUUUAUGGGAUUGUACUUCUGUAUCCUUGAUCUCUAAGAAGACAAAAACCCUAACCUGGUGGAUGAAUCAUGACCGUCUGAUAAAAGCGUGAUUAACAGAUGAUGGUUCUUUGGUUCCAUCAAGCGGUAGAGGAUCGUCCUCAGUCGGUUCGACUGGCUGGGGUGGUCGCAAUACAGGUU
Small nucleolar RNA from Pyrus x bretschneideri (Chinese white pear), 204 nucleotides. RefSeq annotates it as small nucleolar RNA U3. The transcript has a single exon. The record is from RefSeq and is a predicted model, not a curated record. Lineage: Eukaryota; Viridiplantae; Streptophyta; Magnoliopsida; Rosales; Rosaceae.